RNAcentral lists this ribosomal RNA (253 nucleotides) under uncultured bacterium. RNAcentral describes it as "partial 16S ribosomal RNA". It matches the Rfam family "Bacterial small subunit ribosomal RNA", at positions 524 to 776 of the family's 1533-position model. The record is from RNAcentral.
UACAGGGGGUGCAAACGUUGCUCGGAAUCAUUGGGCGUAAAGCGCACGUAGGCGGUCUGUUAUGUCGGAUGUGAAAGCCCUUGGCUCAACUGAGGAAGUGCAUCCGAAACUGGCAGGCUAGAGUACUAAAGAGGAUCGCGGAAUUCCCGGUGUAGAGGUGAAAUUCGUAGAUAUCGGGAGGAACACCGGUGGCGAGGGCGGCGAUCUGGGUAGAUACUGACGCUGAGGUGCGAAAGCGUGGGGAGCAAACAGG